This is a small nuclear RNA of Corvus moneduloides (New Caledonian crow), 107 nucleotides long. Lineage: Eukaryota; Metazoa; Chordata; Aves; Passeriformes; Corvidae. The record is from Ensembl.
GUUCUCCUCUGUCAGGACAUUUUCUGUCUUUGGAACAAUACAAAGAAAACAGGCAUGGCCUCUGCAUAAGUGUGACAUGGAUCCAUGAAGCUGCUGCCCUGGUUUUC